GGAUGCGAUCAUACCAGCACUAAAGCACCGGAUCCCAUCAGAACUCCGAAGUUAAGCGUGCUUGGGCGAGAGUAGUACUAGGAUGGGUGACCUCCUGGGAAUUCCUUGUGUUGCAUUCC
Molecule: ribosomal RNA, 119 nt
Filed under: Triticum aestivum (bread wheat)
Lineage: Eukaryota; Viridiplantae; Streptophyta; Magnoliopsida; Poales; Poaceae
Also listed under: 1 other name
Source: RNAcentral